UACGGAAGGCAGCAGUGGGGAAUAUUGCACAAUGGGCGCAAGCCUGAUGCAGCCAUGCCGCGUGUAUGAAGAAGGCCCUCGGGUUGUAAAGUACUUUCAGUCGUGAGGAAGGUGUUAAGGUUAAUAACCUUAGCAAUUGACGUUAGCGACAGAAGAAGCACCGGCUAACUCCGUGCCAGCAGCCGCGGUAAUACGGAGGGUGCGAGCGUUAAUCGGAAUUACUGGGCGUAAAGGGCACGCAGGCGGUUAAUUAAGUUGGAUGUGAAAUCCCCGGGCUUAACCUGGGAAUGGCAUUCAAGACUGGUUAGCUAGAGUCUUGUAGAGGGGGUAGAAUUCCAUGUGUAGCGGUGAAAUGCGUAGAGAUGUGGAGGAAUACCGGGUGGCGAAGGCGGCCCCUGGACAAAGACUGACGCUCAUGUGCGAAAGCGUGGGGAGCAAACGAGGAUUAGAUACC
Molecule: ribosomal RNA, 454 nt
Filed under: uncultured bacterium
Lineage: Bacteria
Description: bacterial SSU rRNA
Rfam family: Bacterial small subunit ribosomal RNA
Source: RNAcentral